AAGGGGAGUGGCAGACGGGUGAGUAACGCGUGGGAACAUACCCUUUCCUGCGGAAUAGCUCCGGGAAACUGGAAUUAAUACCGCAUACGCCCUACGGGGGAAAGAUUUAUCGGGGAAGGAUUGGCCCGCGUUGGAUUAGCUAGUUGGUGGGGUAAAGGCCUACCAAGGCGACGAUCCAUAGCUGGUCUGAGAGGAUGAUCAGCCACAUUGGGACUGAGACACGGCCCAAACUCCUACGGGAGGCAGCAGUGGGGAAUAUUGGACAAUGGGCGCAAGCCUGAUCCAGCCAUGCCGCGUGAGUGAUGAAGGCCUUAGGGUUGUAAAGCUCUUUCACCGAUGAAGAUAAUGACGGUAGUCGGAGAAGAAGCCCCGGCUAACUUCGUGCCAGCAGCCGCGGUAAUACGAAGGGGGCUAGCGUUGUUCGGAAUUACUGGGCGUARAGCGCACGUAGGCGGAUAUUUAAGUCAGGGGUGAAAUCCCGCAGCUCAACUGCGGAACUGCCUUUGAUACUGGGUAUCUUGAGUAUGGAAGAGGUAAGUGGAAUUCCGAGUGUAGAGGUGAAAUUCGUAGAUAUUCGGAGGAACACCAGUGGCGAAGGCGGCUUACUGGUCCAUUACUGACGCUGAGGUGC
RNAcentral lists this ribosomal RNA (631 nucleotides) under Agrobacterium pusense. RNAcentral's name for it is "bacterial SSU rRNA". It matches the Rfam family "Bacterial small subunit ribosomal RNA", at positions 88 to 754 of the family's 1533-position model. The record is from RNAcentral. Lineage: Bacteria; Pseudomonadati; Pseudomonadota; Alphaproteobacteria; Hyphomicrobiales; Rhizobiaceae.